This 375-nucleotide ribosomal RNA is filed under the name uncultured organism. RNAcentral's name for it is "partial 16S ribosomal RNA". It matches the Rfam family "Bacterial small subunit ribosomal RNA", at positions 527 to 896 of the family's 1533-position model. The record is from RNAcentral.
GUAGGUGGCAAGCGUUGUCCGGAAUUAUUGGGCGUAAAGCGCGCGCAGGCGGUCCUUUAAGUCUGAUGUGAAAGCCCACGGCUCAACCGUGGAGGGUCAUUGGAAACUGGGGGACUUGUGUACAGAAGAGGAAAGCGGAAUUCCAAGUGUAGCGGUGAAAUGCGUAGAGAUUUGGAGGAACACCAGUGGCGAAGGCGGCUUUCUGGUCUGUAACUGACGCUGAGGCGCGAAAGCGUGGGGAGCAAACAGGGGUUAGAUGCCCUGGUAGUCCACGCCGUAAACGAUGAGUGCUAAGUGUUAGGGGGUUUCCCGCCCCCCUUAGUGCUGCAGCUAACGCAUUAAGCACUCCGCCUGGGGAGUACGGCCGCAAGGCUG